AUUGGCAGAUCUUCUCCCGUGCGGCCGCCAACUCGACCUCGAGGGAGCUGAUCUUGGAGGCCUGAGUCCAAGAUCAGUCGCUGGCGUGUUUCUGGUGUUCCUUGAGCUCCUUCUUGAAGUUGGCCUUCUUCCGACUGUAGUCCAUGAAGUUCCUUUUGUGGAGGUUUCGAAGGUGAGUAAUCUCCACGGUGGCUUCCGAAUGGCUCUUCCUCAGCCUGUUAAGUUCGUCGUCCAUCUUCUUUGAUUUCUUCGUUAGGUGACGAACUUCUCUUCUAAGAUCCUGGAUCAUAAACUUCAAAGGAAUUCCUUGUGGUAGGGAAAGAGCUUCGAUAGGGUACUGUUGUCGGAAAACAAGAGCAUCACAAUGCAAAUCAUUGCAAGAAAAAAAAAGGAGGAAAAAGGAAGUAGAAAGAGAAAAAGGAGCUCCCUAUAAAGAGAAAUCCGAUUUCAUUGAUUGAAUAAUUCUUAAGUACAAGAGAAAGAGAAAAAAAAGUUGUAACAAAAGAAAAGUGUAAAAUUAGAGGUCUCAGACCUCUGGAGCAGAAGUGGAGGAGCUCGGCACCUCCGGAAGGUCGGUCACGGUAGCUGCGACAGUUGAAGAGGUCCCGACUGGAGGGAGACCGACAGCAGCUUCGGAAGGUCCAGCUUCAUCAUCGGACACUUCAUCCAGGAAGCUGAGGUCGAGUUCGAGAAACUUUUCGACCACCUUCUCCUGGCAAAGCUUGAAGCCUUUGAUAAAGGCGGCCUGGCCGAACUUGAUAUUCAGAUUCCUC
Molecule: long non-coding RNA, 773 nt
Filed under: Elaeis guineensis (African oil palm)
Lineage: Eukaryota; Viridiplantae; Streptophyta; Magnoliopsida; Arecales; Arecaceae
Description: long non-coding RNA (EGUI_LNC077373)
Source: RNAcentral